Long non-coding RNA from Nicotiana tabacum (common tobacco), 1187 nucleotides. RefSeq lists it as uncharacterized. Lineage: Eukaryota; Viridiplantae; Streptophyta; Magnoliopsida; Solanales; Solanaceae. The record is from RefSeq and is a predicted model, not a curated record.
CUUUAUGUAUGGUAACGGUUAGUCAAAAUUUUUGGCUUUUGCAACAGUUUUACUUUCCCCCCAUAAUUUCCCUCUUCUAAUUUCACUAAACUCAAUUUUACUAGCACCUAGCCUUUUAUUUAAUUCCUAAAACUUGUCCUGUUAACCUUAGAACAUAUCAAAAUAUCCAUAUACCUUCUCGUAGCUUUGACCCCUUGAAACCCUGACCCCUCCGACGAGUCACUCAUGCAAGGCACUCUGUCAAGGCUAUAGCACAUCUCUUCAAUCUCACAGAGUCUAGGGAAAGUAAUAUUGUGGUAGCGACGAAGAGUCAAAGUCUGGUUCUUUCAGGUUGUCCUUCUUGAAGGGCGUGCUUUAUGGUGCAAGAGUCCCUUUCCUCUGAGAUCCAUGUAUCUGCUACCAGAUGAAGUGAGACCAUCAAAGUUCUCUGUGCUUGCGAAUGUCCAAGCUUCAGCCCAAAACUUGCAUAUAAUCCUUAUAAUGAGCCCAACAUUGAAGUUUUCAGGUUCUAAAAGUAUAUUUGUCUAUUUUGAUGAAACUAUUAUUUUUUGUCAGGUUAAUAUUUUUUUUAAAUGUUGUCUUAUUCCAGCACUUAGUUCAUCUCUGGGACUGCUUUGAAUUUGCAGUUGCGAAGUUUUAUUGACUUCCUUGAUCUGAAUUGCAUUGUUAACCAUUACAACACCAUUUUGAUUGCAAUCAAUAAUCUUUCUUUAACUGGCCAUAUGUAGGGGCUUUAGUUCAUCUCUAGGUUGGAAAAUUUGAUUUAAGUUAUUUUUCGUUAUAAGAGCUGGCAUAUUUAGGGAUGGAUUUGCAAUCAGUGAUCUCUCUUCUAACUGGCCAUAUGUAGAUCCUUUACUUCAUCUCUGGGACAACUUCGAAUUUGCGAAGCUUUAUUGACUUCUUUGAGCUGGAUUGCACUUGAAGUUUCAAGGUACUACUUAGAUUGUAUACUCGAUGUUAAAUUCUUUUAAAAAAUUUACUAAAUCAUUUAUUUUUAUCUUUUAUAAGUGGAUCGAAUGAGCAAAGAGUGGAUGAAAGAGGUAAAAAUAUUGCUUAGAAUUAUGGGGUUAUUCUAAAAAUAUUAGUGUAUUAAGAUAUUUUAGGAAUCUUUUAUUUUGGAUUUUUAUUACUUUGAGAGCUUAUGUAUGCUUUUGAAUUGUUAGACAAUAGUAUAAAGUUUAUUUUUA